CUAAUAUAAUUGUAACCUAUGUUGUUGGAGAGAGAAAUAACAUCGUGGAAGAGACAUAAAGUGUUACCGCAGCCGCUCGCUCCUCAUGUUUGAUUAGGCGGAUUUCACACUUGCUGAUACAACAUCCAAGGGAUUUGAUCUCCUCUUGAAGCCAACCAAAGAUCUUUCACUCAUUAGGUCUGGUCCCCUUUGAUGUGCACGUCCAAGAUCCGGAAGGCUGACACCCUUUCCACACAUUCCCCGCUGAUGAAAAUGGACCGAAUGUCCUUUCUCCUGUUAAUCAUCAGCUCACUGAUGUUG
Long non-coding RNA from Oreochromis aureus, 300 nucleotides. Lineage: Eukaryota; Metazoa; Chordata; Actinopteri; Cichliformes; Cichlidae. The record is from Ensembl.